Molecule: ribosomal RNA, 254 nt
Filed under: uncultured bacterium
Lineage: Bacteria
Description: partial 16S ribosomal RNA
Rfam family: Bacterial small subunit ribosomal RNA
Source: RNAcentral
UACGUAGGGAGCAAGCGUUGUCCGGAUUUAUUGGGCGUAAAGAGCGCGUAGGCGGCUCGGUAAGCCGGAUGUGAAACCUCCAAGCUCAACUUGGAGCGGCCAUUCGGAACUGCCGUGGCUAGAGUCUGGUAGGGGAACACGGAAUUCCUGGUGUAGCGGUGAAAUGCUUAGAUAUUGGGAGGAACACCAGUGGCGAAGGCGGCUCACUGGACCGGAACUGACGCUGAGGCGCGAAAGCGUGGGGAGCAAACGGG